CUUUAAAUAAGGGUGAAUUUGCGAGAUAGCCAAAAUCUAGAGUAUAAUUAGGCAAAUGACUAUGAUUUUGACAUUAUUGAGUGAAUAAUAUUUUGCCUUCUCCCAAGCCGGUUAUACCCCUACUGAAAACAAGUUACCGGUCAAAACAAAAGGAGAGAUGACAUCGAUGACUUAAUAGAUGGAUCACAUUCACUGUGUACUGUUAACUAACAAAUCAAGCAAAUAUAUCCACGUCACAUGCUUUCUUACCACGUAUAUGUUAACUGUGCUAUAUAAAUGUUUUAUUCCAUUUAUAAAAGUACUAUGUUUGAUAGAAACAAACAGAACACCUUCAUAUGAAACAGAACUAGAAACCUUAAACUCAAUUCCACACCUAAAUACUACGCCCUAAACUCGAAUCUCUAAACUAAAACUCAAAUAUUAAAUCUAAUUUCUAAUUAUAAUAAUUUUAAAAAAUAAAAUAAAAUAAAGAUAUAUAAAAUUUGAACUAUUGUUCUAUACUAUCUAAAAUAGAGUGGAGACUAUUCUUCAGAACUAAUGCAUUUGUGUUCAACCUUAACCCACCUCCAACCAAAAUAGUAUAUAACACCAAUCCCAUCCCAACCCCUCAAUAAUAAACCAUAUAACAACCCUACCAUAAACCCUUAAAUACUUAACCUUAAACCAUAAUCACUAUACCCUAAACUAAAAUAUAAACCCUAAACCCAAAUAUAAACCCUCAACCUAAAUAGAAUGGAACUAAAUAAAUAGCAUAAUACAUUUUGGUGAAAAUAUGAAAUGUCUAUGAUAUCAUCAAAGAAGUUAAUGCUAACUCCAACCUUACCUCCUCCACCUACAAAAUAUUAUACCCCAAACUUUAAUCACUAAACGCAAAUAUAAACCAUAAACCCAAAUAUUAAAAGUAUAUAAACAUUAUCAUUCUACAUUAGGCAUAUAGAAUAGAAAAUCUGAAAAUGUAGUUACAAUCUAAAACUCAUCUUAACAUAUUUUUCAAAUAUUGAUAUGGUUAUGCCUUCAUGGAAGAUGGUAAUUCUUGUCACAAUAUCAACCCCAACCAUACAUAAACUAAACCCUACACGGAAAUAUAAAUCCUAAUCCAAUGUCAACUUAACAAAUCAAGCAAAUAUAUCCACGUCACAUGCUUUCUUACCACAUAUAUGUUAACUAUGCUAUAUAAAUGUUUUAUUCCAUCUAUAAAAGUACUAUGUUUGAUAGAAACAAGCAGAACACCUUCAUAUGAAACAUAACUAGAAACUUUAAACUCAACUCCACACCUAAAUACCGCCCUAAACUCGAAUCUCUAAACUAAAACCCAAAUAUUAAAUCUAAUUUCUAAUUAUAAUAUUUUUAAAAAUAAAAUAAAAUAAAGAUAUAUAAAAUUUGAACUAUUGUUCUAUACUAUCUAAAAUAGAGUGGAGACUAUUCUUCAGAACUAAUGCAUUUGUGUUCAACCUUAACCCACCUCCAACCAAAAUAGUAUAUAACACCAAUCUCAUCCCAACCCCUCAAUAAUAAACCAUAUAACAACCCCACCAUAAACCCCUAAAUACUUAACCUUAAACCAUAAUCAUUAUACCCUAAACUUAAAUAUAAGCCCUAAAUCCAAAUAUAAACUCUCAACCUAAAUAGAAGGGAACUAAAUAAAUAGCAUAAUACAUAUUGGUGAAAAUAUGAAAUGUCUAUGAUAUUAUCGAAGAAGUUAAUGUUAACUCCAUCUUUACCUCCUUCACCUACAAAAUACUAUACCCUAAACUUUAAUCCCUAAACCCUAAACCCAAAUAUUAAAAGUAUAUAAAACAUUACCAUUCUACAUGAGGCAUAUAGAAUAGAAAAUCUGAAAAUGUAGUUACAAUCUAAAACUCAUCUUAACAUAUUUCUCAAAUAUUGAUACGGUUAUGCCUUCAUGGAAGAUGGUAAUUCUUGUCACAAUAUCAACCCCAACCAUACAUAAACUAAACCCUACACGGAAAUAUAAAUCCUAAUCCAAUGUCAACCCCAAUCUUUCAUAAACUAAACCCUAGCCACUAAUCACUAAACCCUAUAUGGAAUAUAAACUUUUAUCCAACCUCAAACUCAA
RNAcentral lists this long non-coding RNA (2077 nucleotides) under Brassica napus (rape). RNAcentral describes it as "long non-coding RNA (BNAP_LNC003110)". The record is from RNAcentral. Lineage: Eukaryota; Viridiplantae; Streptophyta; Magnoliopsida; Brassicales; Brassicaceae.